AACUAUUAUGGAAGAACACUGUCUCUAUGUCUUGCUCCAAUACUGAAAUAGACAGCAGGUGACAGGGAGACCAUAGCUAUGAUUCAUUCACGAGUAUUGAGUAUUGUGUCUAAAAGUAAUUCCUGUGGCAACUCAACCACGGAGUGAUUUCACAUUUUUAAAUAGAUGGUAAAGUACAUCAGCGUGAUUAAACGCACUCCCACAAGAGCAAGUGUUUGUUCUCAAUAUCAUCAUGUAGCCUAUACAACUCUAAUUUGAGAGUCUAGAUGUUCAAAAACACCUGUCACAAUACAUUGAAUAUGAUUAUGUUUUGUUCAGUGGGAUGGUUUGUGAAAAGAUCAGGCUCUUGACUGAAGAAUAAAAUAUGAAGUGGUCUCCUUUCUCCUAUAGGAAUUUGACUGCCAACGUGAUUUUUUUUCCUAUUGGCUAGGAAUUUUUAAAGAUUAGAAACCAAUAGUUUGCAUUUUUAGAAAACUUGAUUAUUUUAUUCCUGUUGGAUUAUUCCUCAGGUUGUUGACUCUGAGGGGUCAAUUACAAACUGACAUGAGAAUUCCCCUUUUCUCUUACCAAUGGAGAAAACAGAAUGCAUUGAAAGAGAACUGUCAAAAUGAUGUACAGAUAAUGCACACAUACGUAUAUGCAUAUAUGCAUAUGAUUUACAUCAAAUACUGUUUUCUAGUUGGAUGAUACAAUGUGGUCUUUUGAAAAGUAUCUCUGUAAGGAAGCAUCCCAUGCAUAAUAGAAAGGGAGAAGAGAGAGAGAGGGAGAGAGAGGCAGAGGGAGAAACACACAUAUAUAUAAUGUUUGUAUAAAUUGUCCAAGGAAGAUACAUGCUUAAGGAACACUAAAAUUAUUAUAAACAUGAUGUAAAUUAAAAUGCAAAAUGUAAGCAUUACAUUUUAAAAAUAAAUUAAUGUUAUAUCUACUUUGUUCUAUUUCAUUAUAUUUCAGACUUUUUUAGUGUGGUCCUCUUUGGCAGGACCCAAGAUCCCGGGCUCAACUUUCCCACUCAUUUUCUACUUCCCAGAUGAAAAAUUAACUAGGUGAAAACGAAAAAAACUAUCCUUAAUAAAUAAAUGCUCACACACACACACACACACACAC
RNAcentral lists this long non-coding RNA (1104 nucleotides) under Homo sapiens (human). Its description in RNAcentral is "HSALNT0328414". The record is from RNAcentral. Lineage: Eukaryota; Metazoa; Chordata; Mammalia; Primates; Hominidae.